This 236-nucleotide long non-coding RNA is filed under the name Arabidopsis lyrata. RNAcentral describes it as "long non-coding RNA (ALYR_LNC002890)". Lineage: Eukaryota; Viridiplantae; Streptophyta; Magnoliopsida; Brassicales; Brassicaceae. The record is from RNAcentral.
AAUUCGGUAUGCUUCGGGUGUGGGAGAUAUACCGAUCGGAAUAGAUGAAAUUAGGACUUCGGUUUUCUAUUCGGUCGGUUCGGUUCGGGUAUUCCGAUCGGUUACCGACGAUUACCGAAAAUGAAACCUAAAUAUAAAAGCCAAAUUUUUUUUUACCCUAAUCUCAUUUCAUUUCUUUCACUUCCUCGAGCCUCACUCUCGAUUUGCGACUGGCGACGCCUCAAUCUCGUCUUCCU